Molecule: ribosomal RNA, 588 nt
Filed under: Triticum aestivum (bread wheat)
Lineage: Eukaryota; Viridiplantae; Streptophyta; Magnoliopsida; Poales; Poaceae
Description: partial small subunit ribosomal RNA
Source: RNAcentral
AUGAUGGCAUCUUCAUCAGGUCAACCUGCGAAGCCUGGGAAGAGUGUUGGUGAGGAGUUCGUUGAUCAUCGACUGCUCAGUCGAAAUGUUCGUUAUCCUGAUUCAAAAAAUUUGCCAAGACCCCUGGACAUGGCGGCAUACUUCGAGGAUGAUCCUCCCUGUCAAACAACACACUGCACUAAUGUGGCAGUUGAGCAGCACAAUAAAAAACAGAAGGGUGGUAAGCUAAAGAUAAAGCGUGCUGUUGGAGUUCAUAGCAACAUGUUCGUUUUGGACCAGAAUGACCCAGUGAGUUAUUGGCAUGUUUACUUCAAAGGGCACGAUGGGAGAAGAAGAAGACGGUACAGGUACUUUGCCGAGUUGAGCGGGGUAAAAGGGCCUGAGUUGCUGACAUUUUGCGAAGUCGUGGAUAAAGCUAAUGUUGUGUACUGCCCGCACUGCUUUGGAGGAAUAUAUCACCCCCCAACCACAGAAUCCGGUUCAGCGUCGGAUCGUAGGCUGAACAGUGUAGCAUUGGGUGAAGCUAUACGUGGCCCCGGCAGAAAGAGAAAGGAGGCUGUCAGCUCCAUUGAUUCGAUUCAGGCCUAG